GUGGUUUCUGAAAACCAUAUGAUCGUGGCAUCUAACAGCGUUUUCUUUCGCUUUUGGGCACCCCAAGCGUUCAAGAUCAAUAUAAGGAAUGUCGAACUUUAUACAGAGAUCUUUUUCAAUGUGCCCCCUUAUAGCAAAUAACGUCUUUAAUGGACUUUAGGACCUGCAUUUCAAAUGGAAGCUCACGAUAUUCGUACCAAAUGGUUGUCGGGGUCUCGGUCUGGGGUGCAUAAUCAAUUCUCAACUAUGCAGUCUCCGCUGGAAAUUGAUUGUUUUCUUCUCGGCCGGUGAAAGCUGAUAGUAUUUAUGCUCAGGAUUAGUUGUAAAAAAUUAUACGUAAAUGUAAAUCACUUUUAAAACCACUUUUAAAUGUAAAUCCUUCGAUGUCCAUUAUAGCAACUAUAAAUCAAUUAUAAAUAAUUAUUAGAUAGUCACAUUAAUCGUUAUAAUGUUACGCGCCGUCUCACUAAGCGACAGGUGUUCGGUGGCCAGCGAUCAGAUGCGUUUGGCGAGCGAUCGUCUAGUGGUAAUUGUUUUAUUCUAUAGAAAGAUCCAGUGAACUAAGGUAAAUCUAACACUAUUUAUUCAAUUAACAACAACAAUUACACGACAAUACAGGAGUAAACAUCCACGUAUAUAACCUAACCUGUAUGCAGAUCAAUACGAUAAUAAUAGGCGACACCAAAUUACACUACUCGACCUCCAACUCUCCCGGAGCUAGAACAAGGAUAAAGAGAAUAAUUACCUCAGUGGUAGCAGCUCCGCAGAUCAGCUGUAGUUGGCAGGGAAAACUGAUUCUCGUGGCAGCAAAGGAAGUGUAGUCGUUCGCUAAACAGAUCGUUCUAAGGAAGAGUGAGCGGAGAGUGGUCGGACGCUUACGAUCCACACUUGCAGACAUUGGGACUCUGCUUAUGACGCUUUUUUUAGCAUGCCCCGUGGUAUGUGAUUGGACCCUUCCGGAUCCCAUCUUAGAAGUUUCCCCAUCUCUGAUGUCAGAGACGUGCACCUCUCAUCCUAUAGGAUCAAGACCCUUCCAAUCUCCCCUUAGAUUUUUUUCUUGUUUCUUCAUUAUGUCAGUCCAUACCAGCAAUCAUAAUCUAUUAAUCAUAAUCAAUGAUAUUUUCUGAAGGCGACUCGUUCUAAGUCGCCUGGUAGUUACAUUCCUUCCUCUCCGG
RNAcentral lists this long non-coding RNA (1175 nucleotides) under Androctonus crassicauda. Lineage: Eukaryota; Metazoa; Arthropoda; Arachnida; Scorpiones; Buthidae. The record is from RNAcentral.